This 76-nucleotide transfer RNA is filed under the name Nitriliruptor sp. Its description in RNAcentral is "tRNA-Lys". It matches the Rfam family "tRNA". Rfam says of the family: Transfer RNA (tRNA) molecules are approximately 80 nucleotides in length. Their secondary structure includes four short double-helical elements and three loops (D, anti-codon, and T loops). The record is from RNAcentral. Lineage: Bacteria; Bacillati; Actinomycetota; Nitriliruptoria; Nitriliruptorales; Nitriliruptoraceae.
GCGCCGCUAGCUCAAUUGGCAGAGCAUCCGGCUCUUAACCGGCAGGUUCGGGGUUCGAGUCCCUGGCGGCGCACCC